AGUGAACGCUGGCGGUAGGCCUAACACAUGCAAGUCGAACGGCAGCACAGUAAGAGCUUGCUCUUACGGGUGGCGAGUGGCGGACGGGUGAGGAAUACAUCGGAAUCUACUUUUUCGUGGGGGAUAACGUAGGGAAACUUACGCUAAUACCGCAUACGACCUACGGGUGAAAGCAGGGGAUCUUCGGACCUUGCGCGAUUGAAUGAGCCGAUGUCGGAUUAGCUAGUUGGCGGGGUAAAGGCCCACCAAGGCGACGAUCCGUAGCUGGUCUGAGAGGAAGAUCAGCCACACUGGAACUGAGACACGGUCCAGACUCCUACGGGAGGCAGCAGUGGGGAAUAUUGGACAAUGGGCGCAAGCCUGAUCCAGCCAUACCGCGUGGGUGAAGAAGGCCUUCGGGUUGUAAAGCCCUUUUGUUGGGAAAGAAAAGCAGCAGGUUAAUACCCCGCUGUUCUGACGGUACCCAAAGAAUAAGCACCGGCUAACUUCGU
RNAcentral lists this ribosomal RNA (491 nucleotides) under uncultured bacterium. Its description in RNAcentral is "partial 16S ribosomal RNA". It matches the Rfam family "Bacterial small subunit ribosomal RNA", at positions 29 to 506 of the family's 1533-position model. The record is from RNAcentral.